ACUCAAAUGAAUAGACGGGGACCCGCACAACCGGUGGAGCGUGUGGUUCAAUUCGAGACAAAGCGAAGGACCUUACCAAGUUUUGACAUAUUACCGUACAUUUCCCUGGAAACAGGGAGAAAUCCGCAAGGAUGGUAGUACAGCAGCUGCAUGGCUGUCGUCAGCUCGUGCCGUGGGGUGUUCCCUUAAGUGGGAGAACGAGCGCAACCCGUAUCCAAUGUUACAAGUGUCAUUGGAGACUGCCCUGAUUAUUCUCAGGGAGGAAGGAACGGACGACGUCAAGUCAGCACGGCGCUUAUAACUUGGGAUACACACACCCUACAAUGGCGAAAAACAAUGAGAAGCUAGGCCGUAAGGUCAUGCAAAUCUCCAGUAAAUUUCGCCUCAGUUCAGAUUGAGGUCUGCAACCCGACCUCAUGAAGUCGGAAUCGGUAGUAAUCGCAGAUCAGCAGGCUGCGGUGAAUACGUUCUCGGGUCUUGUACACACCGCCCGU
This 494-nucleotide ribosomal RNA is filed under the name uncultured bacterium. Its description in RNAcentral is "partial 16S ribosomal RNA". It matches the Rfam family "Bacterial small subunit ribosomal RNA", at positions 899 to 1397 of the family's 1533-position model. The record is from RNAcentral.